Molecule: small RNA, 725 nt
Filed under: Histoplasma ohiense
Lineage: Eukaryota; Fungi; Ascomycota; Eurotiomycetes; Onygenales; Ajellomycetaceae
Description: hypothetical lncRNA
Source: RNAcentral
AUCAAAUUGUCUCCUGUUUAAUAAAGCCGUUAAGCCCAAUUCAGGCUUCUUUCUGUCUCCAUGAGCUAGGAAGUAUUGUAGCAGAGGGGAGGACGCAAAGAACAGAGCAUAGAGACUACCAGAAAGCCCUGAGAAGCACGGGAAAUAACUCGUCUUCUCCUCGCAUAACCAAGCAAUGGCAGUGAUUAAAAUCGAUAUCAUUUCAGACGCGAUAUGUCCCUGGAAAAUAGUGCUUCAUCGGCUACCGCGACCUCCAAAAGGCCAUUUCCCUCUACCAAAAGAGACAUACCCAGGGGGCUCCAAGGAUGAAUUCCAACUGUCAUGGAAGCCUUACUUCAUAGACUAAGAACCCCCCAGCGAGAGCAUAAUUAUCCACGGUAAGACAUCCGCUAGCUUCCGCCGCCCCGUCCUCCCUUAUCUUUCAUUUACAAACAAUGCACUCAAAUAACCCCCACCCCGCGCACGAAAAAUUACCUCAUUAGUCACAACACAAUACAAUAUCCAGACCGGAUGGCUCCGGAAAAUGGGGCCCAAAAUGACCGAGGCGGCGCAGACGCGCCUAAAGCGCGUUGGGACGGCGUUGGGUCUCGAUUUAAAGUUCGGAGGGUAUAUGGGUAGCUCAAGGCUUGCGCACGUACUUCUACAUACCACCGGUGCGGAGAAGGGGCUUGUGAUGCAAGGUAAGGUUUCCGAUAUAUUGUUCCGGUAUCAGUUGGAGAUGGAGG